UGGCUCAGAGGAUAAAGCGUCUGCCUGCAACGCGGGAGACCCAGGUUCAAUCCCUGG
This 57-nucleotide transfer RNA is filed under the name Capra hircus (goat). It matches the Rfam family "tRNA", at positions 8 to 63 of the family's 71-position model. Rfam says of the family: Transfer RNA (tRNA) molecules are approximately 80 nucleotides in length. Their secondary structure includes four short double-helical elements and three loops (D, anti-codon, and T loops). The record is from Rfam by way of RNAcentral. Lineage: Eukaryota; Metazoa; Chordata; Mammalia; Artiodactyla; Bovidae. RNAcentral also lists the same sequence under 1 other name.